This 45-nucleotide non-coding RNA is filed under the name Schistosoma mattheei. Lineage: Eukaryota; Metazoa; Platyhelminthes; Trematoda; Strigeidida; Schistosomatidae. The record is from RNAcentral.
AUUCAACUGACGAGUCCCGAAUAGGACGGAACGCGUGUGCUGGAU